This 253-nucleotide ribosomal RNA is filed under the name uncultured bacterium. RNAcentral's name for it is "partial 16S ribosomal RNA". It matches the Rfam family "Bacterial small subunit ribosomal RNA", at positions 524 to 776 of the family's 1533-position model. The record is from RNAcentral.
UACAGGGGGGGCAAGCGUUAUUCGGAAUUAUUGGGCGUAAAGGGCGCGUAGGCGGCUUGGCAAGUGGAUGGUGAAAUCCCUCGGCUUAACCGAGGAACUGCCGUCCAAACUGCUUUGCUUGAGACCGGGAGGGGUGAGUGGAAUUCCCAGUGUAGCGGUGAAAUGCGUAGAUAUUGGGAGGAACACCAGUGGCGAAGGCGGCUCACUGGACCGGUACUGACGCUGAUGCGCGAAAGCGUGGGGAGCAAACAGG